Molecule: ribosomal RNA, 251 nt
Filed under: uncultured bacterium
Lineage: Bacteria
Description: partial 16S ribosomal RNA
Rfam family: Bacterial small subunit ribosomal RNA
Source: RNAcentral
UACAGAGGUCUCAACCGUUGUUCGGAUUCAUUGGGCGUAAAGGGUGCGUAGGCGGUCGCGCAAGUCGGAUGUGAAUCUCAGGCUCAACCCUGAACUGCAUUCGAUACUGCGUGGCUAGAGUGCUGGAGAGGAGACUGGAAUUUACGGUGUAGCAGUGAAAUGCGCAGAUAUCGGGAGGAACACCGGUGGCGAAGGCGGUUCUCUGGGCCGUGUACUGACGCUGAGGAGCGAAAGCGUGGGGAGCGAACAGG